This 468-nucleotide ribosomal RNA is filed under the name uncultured bacterium. RNAcentral describes it as "partial 16S ribosomal RNA". It matches the Rfam family "Bacterial small subunit ribosomal RNA", at positions 28 to 507 of the family's 1533-position model. The record is from RNAcentral.
GACGAACGCUGGCGGCGUGCUUAACACAUGCAAGUCGAACGGAAAGGCCCUGCUUUUGUGGGGUGCUCGAGUGGCGAACGGGUGAGUAACACGUGAGUAACCUGCCCUUGACUUUGGGAUAACUUCAGGAAACUGGGGCUAAUACCGGAUAUGAGCUCCUGCUGCAUGGUGGGGGUUGGAAAGUUUCGGCGGUUGGGGAUGGACUCGCGGCUUAUCAGCUUGUUGGUGGGGUAGUGGCUUACCAAGGCUUUGACGGGUAGCCUGCCUGAGAGGGUGACCGGAAAAAUUGGGACUGAGAUAGGGCGCAGAAUACUACGGGAGGCAGCAGUGGGGAAUAUUGCACAAUGGGCGGAAGCCUGAUGAAGCAAAGCCGCGUGCGGGAUGACGGCCUUCGGGUUGUAAAACGCUUUCGCAUGUGACGAAGCGUGAGUGACGGUAAUGGGUAAAGAAGCACCGGCUAACUACGUG